This is a non-coding RNA of Osmia lignaria (orchard mason bee), 36985 nucleotides long. Lineage: Eukaryota; Metazoa; Arthropoda; Insecta; Hymenoptera; Megachilidae. The record is from RefSeq and is a predicted model, not a curated record.
GGGGGUCCCUAAACGCGUGUAUCGCCCAGGUGGUCUAGGCGCAAAUAGGAAACCCGUCCUGUGCCCCGAUGAAGCCUUGUAGCUUUGCAACGCUAUCGCAGAAUUUCCUACCGACGAGCAGCAGCGCACGGACACUCUCCCGCGAAUCGGCCACGUUCUCGCAGAUCUCUCUGGCGGGAGAGAAGGAGAGACCAGGUGAGAGUGUGUUGGUCGGGCGUGGUCGCGGUGGCCAUGGAAUGCGCUCACUUUCACCGUGAACGUGGCCAGACGAGGAUCGAGGAGAACACGCGGCGAGAGAAAGAGAGCUGCUGCUGCUCUUGCACGCACACGAAACACGCCUCUACGCUCGGACCGAGUGCAACGUGCUGCAGACUGCACUCGCUGCUGCAACGCACCGUUUCGUUUCCCUUUGUUCCUUCUCAAAGAUAUACCAAUUCUUCGAAUCUUCCUCUUUUAAUAAUUUUCUAACGAUAACGAAGGAGUUGUAGGAAGAGGGGUUGAAAAUAUGAAGGGGUGAGUUUUAGUUUGAUCCUGUUGACUGAAACGAUGCGAUCGCUGUAAGAUUCGUUUACUUUGCUCAAAAGCAGCUUCCUCUCGUCAAAGAAUCGGUAAUGUGCUACACGAUCAAUCAUUAAAAUCAUCUGGAAAGGAGCGUAGAUGAUUCUGUGAAAAAAAGGGAUCGAUUUCUAAAGUCGGUAGAGUCCAUGGAGCAGCAGCCGCGUUAGAAAGCAACGUCAACCUACAUGCGAUCGGAGGAAGGGUAUUUCUUUUCAUCAACGAUUCGCUCGCCAAGACACGGACGAUAGUCGAUUAACGGGAUGAAUUAUAGGCAAUUGAAAGCGAGUGAAUAGCUAACAGGUAGCCGGUACUUCCGUUCACCGAACUGCCGCCACUGAGACUUCUUCCUCGUUGAAACACAGCUUGGUCAGGUGCGGGUAGCUAAACCACGGUAACAGGAGCCCCGAAACGAAUUCGUGAACAUUUUAUAUAAUCCUCUUAGCAACGCGACACUUGAUAAAUAACCUCGAUUACAUUCUGGGUUAUCUUUAUUUUCACCGGACCCAGUGAAUCCAAUUACCAAAAGUCUGAUCAUGGAACCCUAGGAGAUAGGAUAAGAAUUUAAUUACCUGCAAUUGAAUCAAAUUAGAUCAGAAUGAUGAAACUAUCGAACGAUUACGAUUUUUCCUUCGAAGAGAUUUGGUUUACGGCGAAGGAAAGAGAAAAGAAGGGAACGUAAUUUGCUGUCGUUGAAACGGAUAUCGGUGCCCUCGACGACAGGGAGUUCUUCCUGUCGACCAUUGGCAGAAUUCUUAAUUAGCGGGCUCGCUUGACGCACGCUCGCAGCAUUUGCGUUUCGAGGUUACGUAAAGAGGUUGAAACACGAGAUAGGGCUUGAAACAUCGUUACUCUCGAGGACAGUGAAUUGCCAUAAAGGAGAAAAGGAACGCGAAGAAGAAGAAGCAGCAGCAACAAACAAGAGCCUGCUUAAGAGGGAUUAUUAUUGGGCGUGCCCCAGUUUUACAGGACCGAUAUAAAAAACGUUUCACGAACGCUUCUUAAAAACUUCAGCACGGAUUAACGAGUUCUCGCCAAUAAAUAUUCUUUUUGUCUUUCGUUUCUUGCGCAACACACCUUGCCAACACUUAAGGUUAUGAAGCUUAAAGCUACGAAGUUGUAAAAUCGAAAGCUUAUGGGUAAUGAGGCGAUUAAAAAACGACGUUCUAUCACACGUUCCUUAUGGUGUGUCGUGUAUUCUCGCAGUUGCGUAGCAGCCUGAAAACCCGUAGAAAAACAUAGAAUCAGUUUUUUUUUCUCCAUCGGUUCGUCACCGGUACACGUACGUUUUAUAUAUCGGAUGCACGAUUAACCAAUUGGCAUUUUGCUGGAAUAAUUAUAUGUUAUACCGGCGUACUUUUCACCCGCGGCCGUUCAACCGUGAACACAGAUAGCGGCUCUCUUCGCCGUUAAAGUGCACCGGGUGGCGAGGCAGAAAAAAAGGGGACACGUUGCAACGAGACGUUGCACCACGCCGGUUCGCUGCAAUUAGAUCGCCACGGCAUGCCGCGCCACGCUGUUGAACCGUCGUCGCCACGCUACAUAGAUCUCGAUUUUUCGGCUCGGUCCUGCCGCGAUUUUGCCUUAUUACCGGUUCGCUCGAUAGCAGCCGCCGCGUUUUACGAUCCUUCUCGCUCGUUUCCUGUUACGCGCGAUACCUGUCCAGCCCCUUUCAACGCUGCGCAAGCGUCACUCAACUGGAAUUGAUACCAGUCUCGAGCGAUUCCGACUGUUCUAUUCUUCAAAGUUAAAAUCAUGAUUAAUCUUUCGAUCACCGGAUGGCUAAGAAAACGAGAAUCGAAAUUUUACGUCUAUCGGAAGGAAAAAGCAAACGAUACGAAUCCGUUUGAAAAGAAACUCGGUGUAGCUAACCUAUGGACAUUCUUGUAAAGGUGUUCCACCGGACGAAGGAGGCAGAAUGGACGGGGAUACAACGAUAGAGAUAAAGAAGCCGGAGGAGGAAGGUGUAAGAAUGGGACCCUGGGUGACAAAGUAACGCGAACUCGCGAGGGAAGAGCGAGGUGAACGACAAUGGGCGGCUGAUUUGUGAACUGCCAGCUCGGAUAUCGUCGUUCCGCGGACGCGGCCCACGGCUUCAUCGAACCUCCAUAAAUUUCUAUGGUUCAACAUGGGAGGCUCUCUUUCCGGGUCCGUGGAUCGGUAACCGCAGCUGCGCAAACCGUGUCCUUCCUCAACAUUCCUCGUUCACUCGCUAUUCCAACCUCCUCAGGCCGAUUCUUGUCGAUGUUUUACUAUGCUAAUGAGCCUUUAAUCCUCUCAUUAGCUCUAAAUUACUUCUUCUUCCUUCUGAAUCGUUAGAGAGCAAUUGUCAUCUAAAUUGUAGGAAGUCUAGAAUCUAGUUUUCCAUUUUAACUGUUCGUAAUCGUUUGAUCGGUGGAAUUUUCAAGAAGCGUGAAAAUUCGGCUCCGAUCAAUAUCGCGGGCGACCGCAAAUCAUUGGAUUGCGCAAAUGGCUGGAACCGCAAUGCAAUAAACGAGGUGGAGAGCGGUCCACGGGUUCGUAACGAGAAAACGACGAGGAGAUAAUGCGAAUCGACGUGCCGGCUCGAGAACACGAUUGUUUUGAUCGAGCACAGAGUGAACGAUCCUCGUUCUUCUCCCGGUGAAUCGUUUGCGCCGAAACUGGUUUCGCGACUCGUACAAACGAUCCGGUUGUCAGUCGUCCGAUCUUUGUCAAAUUCAAUUACAACGCUACACGAAAGCUCGAGCAUUACUGUUGAAGAUGGUUCCCGAAACGAGCUUUUUCCAUCUUUUCGUUUCGAGCAAUCAAUUUCGUUUGUCAGCUCAACGAAAAAUUCAACAUAAUUCCUGAAAUGUAGAGAAAUAAAGACUGAUGACGAUGCUUGAUCCCGUCACACGCGUGAAUAAACAUACGAAUAAACGAGCUGAUGGGGCCAUCAAAUUAAGGAUCGAACGAGGGUACCAGGUCGCGUGAGGAUCGAGCGAAAAAUUUCGAAAGGGGUCACGAGUCAAGAACGAAGAAGAACGCGAAUGUGCGUUUAAUCGAGGCGAACCGUCGAGAGCCGACCGAUGACCCGGGUCGUUAUUUCGCAAAGUGCAAUAAGUCUUCUCUUAAUUUCACCGGUCGGCAAGGAUGGGCGUGAAACGCAGUAAUUGCUCUUCACCGAGGUGGGUCGAACGUUGCGAACACGGCUUAAUAAUCGUCGAAAAGAGAAGGGUAGAAGAAAAGACGAUCGCUACGUUUCAGGCUCGUCCAAGACGUUGAUUCAUAUUCAAUAAACCUUGUAUCGAACACGAAUCGAUUCGUCCAAACGUGUUGUUUCGCAAUCGGGCUUUCAAAUUUUGCCAGAUGGGUCGCAGAGAUUCGAAGGCCACGCGAGAUGCUUCUUUUUGGGAGUGGUCCAUGAUUCUUCAGAAAUAUUCACAGAAAAGCGUUUCUUCUUGCAUAUUAUCAGAAGAGAUCGGACGAUAAAAAUAAUAAUCUCUUUACUUUAAAGUUUAAAGAUCCUCGUAAAGAGGGGUGAUCAAUGCUAUCGUCAAUCGAACCCUGUAAUUACAUACGAACCAGACGAUGAAUGAAUUAUUAUCAUUUACGCAAUACAGUUUAUUUUUGUGGCAGCCAGUCACUUUCUCCGUGAUUAUACAAAAACGUGUUCAUAAACAUUUCACCUGAUUCAUGGUAGAAAAAAUGAUGAUAUCUGAUAAAGGAGAAAUCCUGUUAUUCAUCGUGUAAUGAGAAAAUCCAAUUUUCCAAGGGAAUAGAAAGAAAAUAGAAAUCAAUGCAGUUUGAUCAGAAAUACGAGAGGAGAACAAAGGAGAAGGCGCGCGUAUUGCACACUGCAUUCCUCUUUGCGCUCUUAUCUCUUCCUAGCAGGAUUAUUACAGCCGGUGGACGGUGGUGUUUGCUAGAACGUAGUCUGCUUGCGUCUCUCGCAAUGGUAACGGUACUUCAUCCACUGGUGCAAGUGGUCAGCCAGAUCAUCGACUGGUCGAUCGUUUCGAGCGCAUCGAUUGCAUAAACUGCGAGAGGAAACCGCGAAGGCGUUUCUUAUGGAAAAACUCGUCGGAAAAUGAAUAUGUAGCAAGACUGAAUCUCGUCUCUGCUCGCGACAGGCAUCAAUUAUCGAAAUUCCAAAAUGUAGAAAACUUGAACGGUGCUCAAUUUUCGGUCUUUAAUUUUCUUUCAAAUCACAAGCAAUCUAUUUCGAAACGAAAAACGAAACUCCAUUUCUGUCGCACAAGUUGUUCCUGCAUUACUGUGACAGUCCACGCUCGCCUGUUACCGUCUUCCGCGCCGCGAAACCGCGCUCUCUCGUUGCCUUCGUACGUAAGAAUGUCGCUUAAAGUGUGUACGCCUAGACCGGUCGCGCGACUAAUAUGGGAGUGUGCGGCUGGCUGAAGCCUCAACUGGAUCACAGAUCCAGCUUGCCGAUCGAAUCGCUUCCCUAGGCGUUAAGCUCCGUUCACAACGCAAGAAUCGGUGAACACAAGCCGUACGAAAAGUGAUCAAAGUCACCGCCACCAUUUCAGAAGAUUUGAUAAAGUUUCAAAUUUCUGUCGGAGAUUCAUUUCAUCUUUCGAUCUUUACUGCAAGAAUACGCGAAAUGCAUCGACUAAUACAAUAGUGACAAGAGCAGAAGAGACAUUCCCAGAAAACCUCGUCACGGAGGUCUGACAUUCUACGACAUUAGAUAAUUGCAUCCAAGCUCCUCCUUCUUCCUUGCUUCUCUCUCGGUCCCUCUGCACUCUUGUACAGCAAUUUCGCCGAGAAAAAGAAGCCCCGUUCCGAGAAGAACGCAGAGACACGAUCGUCUUCCUCUUCCUCUUCGAGCCAACUCCGUGGACCAGCUUUGCUAUCCACGGAUCAAUGAAACCAUACAAGUGGUUGUGGUGAAACCGCAUGAAAGAAUUAUCAAAUAGAAAUAGCUACGACGUGUGCAACAAUGUUACCAAGGGAAUACCUCUGAAAGAGAAAAAUAGAAACGAAGAAGGCGAUGUGUACACCGCAAAGUGUAAACGAAUACCGGAAUGCUUGCAACAAGUUCCAAGUCUUGGAUGAUCUUAAUUAAGAAGUGUUAAUUGAAUUUUAUCUACUCUAUGUAUUUGCGGUUUAGAAUUCCACGUGGUCUCAUCUUGCCAUUAUAUCUAUAAAAAUGAUUGCAACUUUAUUGCAAGGAAACAUUCCACAGCCGGUUUGUAGCUUUCGAGAUUUUCCGUGGAUCUAGGUGGAUCCGGUCGCGGUCGUCUCGAAGAGCAGAAGAACCGAUUCCAAGAACAGAAUCGCUACCGAACGCUCGUUGCAAUUUCCUCUUCCCUGAUCGCGAUGGACGAAUUACAGUUGCACGCGUUACGAGCAUCAUUACGCUUGUUUUAUUAUCUCGCUAACUUUACGAUCAUUCUGACCUUUCCUUUAUUGCACCGUCAAUUUUGAUCUCUAUACUGUGACAAACAAGCAAUUUCCACGGUUGCCUUUUGAUUUGUCGUCGUGUUGGCUGUAAAAAUUCUGGUUCUGUAAUAAAUACAAACAGGAACAUGACCGUUGAUUGAAUUAUUUUUGCAACUAUGCGGCUGGUAGCCGCACAAAGAGGUAGCCGUUCUAUCUUCGAGUCAUUCAUCGCGGCAGAAAAAGUUAUGCAACGCUUCCGUGUGCCAAGAAACCGGAAGCGAAUCGAUCCUGUCUACCUGGCGAAAAAUCCGGAUAUCGAUCACUAGAUGAAAACCGUCGAAAGCCAAUACGAGAGUACGCGAAACCGCAACGCGUAUCUUCCGUGGCCGCACCAUUCCAAACACCGGAAGUUGCCCGUUGAUGGAUUCCCUGGUAAUUCGACGCUCACCGAAAAACCGAAUCAGAUGCAGAUCGAUCGAUCUAGGAAAGGGAGGAGAAGAAUGGAAAUAAAAAAGGAGAAAGUGAUGGAACGCGCGAGUUCCUCGCUGAUGAACAAGAUGGCGUGAAACUAACAAGUACAACAAUUUUAUUACAUUAAUAAUGCAAUAUUUUACAUUCUUUUCUUUUCUUAAUGAUACGAUUAUGUUGAAUUUGAGGUAUCAGUCGCCAAUGAGCCCCCAUAGAAGUCUACAUACUAAGUGGUUUUCAUGUCUCUGGGUAAGUAGUAUAGGUCAGUAGAGUGUCAGACCUUUUCUUUCAACUCCCUACACAGACCUCAAAGACUGUCUACAUAGAAAGACUUUUAUUUUCUUAGGACAGAUCUUAACUUGUGCUGAUUACUUUAUUGUUAUAAAUCUAUAAAAUGACCACUAGCUUUACAAAUGCCAUUUUAUAAUUGAGCUAAUGUAAGUGGAAACACGAGUUAACUGGUGACCGGUCAACAAUGCGUUAACUCUACAAUUGAUAGGCUUCCGGAAAUCGGCAUCUCGCGGGGACGGAGUUGCGGCGAUACCGCAAUUCGACGUUCCAUCGAAAAGGGAAACGGCAGGAGACACUCGAUGAAACGAAACGACGCUGCGAAAGGUGGAGGUGGUUUCAGCCAAAGGAAAGGUGUAGAAGAAGGGAAGAGGGGGAGAAGGAAGAGGAGGUGAACGUUGAGAAACCAAGGCGUAAUCCGAGGCGUAGAUGCAUCGAUAGCAACGAACAGCCAGCGAACCCGAUUACCACCGACUUCCAGGAGCGUUCUCCGUUGCCUGCACGCACGCACACGACCCAGAGAUUCUACCACCUUCUCCACCUCCAUCUUCUCCUACUUCUCUUCCUCGAACGUACUAUACGGUGCGUGAACCAGCGAGUGCUGGAGGAGAAUGCGAGCGGACGUAUGGGCGGUCUGGCCGUUCGACGUCUUCAAAAAUGUAGGGAGUGGACCUCGCGUUUCUUCAGCGUCGCUUUGCAGCCUCGCCAUCUCCACGCUUUCCACUUUCGCGCCGUUUUUUAAACGCUUCCUUUGGUCAAGGUUGUCCAGAAAUCGCAAUUUUCGAUAAUUAACUAAUCCCUAAUUCUCGUUUCGAUACCUAAGAAAUUAUUUGAUAUUUCAAAUAGCUAUUCAAAGUUUGAUCAACUCUGAUUAUUCGUUGCACAGGCUCGCGGCUGUCUUGGACAAUCGUAAAUAGCCGGUACCUAAUAUACAGUUCGUGUUUCUUGUUGAUCGAGGUACAACCAACGCGCGUCCACUCUGAAGAAACGAGUCAGCCGGCGAACGGUGAUCGGGCUGGUCGAACGAUUUGCAGUUUCUUGCAAAACAGGCACACCGUUCACCAGGAUUGCUGAUAGCGCGAUGAUAAGCGAGGCCUGUAGAUAGGCGGGGUCGCGAUGAGAACCACUGCACGGGGAGUGGACUCUCGGAGCACUUUAUCUCCGGAGUCCAAGAUGUGGGUCGCGACUGCCGCCCGCCACGCGAACACUAAUACUACCUUAAGGCUCGUCCACACCUGGCUGCACGUGCGCUCUUAGCGAAUUCUGUACGUGUUUCUUUCUUGCAUAAUUUCGUUUCAAUUGAAACUCCGACCUCUAUAGAUAUAAUAUUUUAGGGGUAGUUUUAAUAUUUUCGAGAGACCUCUGAUACAAAUCGAUGCAUCGAUCUUCUUAAUAACGUUCGCAUCGUGUCAUCGAUCGAGAAGGUAUCUUUAGGCGUGCCACACGCGAUCGGUACCAUAACGAUCACGUUUUAGUCAUCUAAUGGUUGGAACGAAUCAUACCGUUCACAUGAUACUUCUUUAAACGUUCCUUUUAACAACCAUCAAUUCACGAUCAUUUGCAUUCUUGAACACUGUCCUCUUUUAUCUGCACGCGUGUACGUUCGGUCAAAAAUGAGAAAAUAAAAAAAUCAAGCUCUCCAACUGAUUGACGUUGAUCGUGAAUUUCUCCUUCGAGUUUCUACAGCGAAGGAAGAACGAUCGAAGGGAAAACUUGGAGCGGAGACUCUCGAUUUCAUCGCGCUGGAAUCGCGAUCGAUUUCGCGAGACGUCUUGGACACUCCCUCUCUUUUUCUCUCUCUCUCCUUUGCUCUUAUUUUUUCCACUCGUUCCUUCUAUGAUCGUUCUAAUCCGGCGUGGAUGAAAAUAAAUGAUCGGAACCGGAGAGUAUCAUUUUUGUUACUCGUCAGCAGCUUCACUUUCGAUAUUACUUUCGAGGCCGGCGACGUAUCCAGUAUCAGCCGAUCCUUCCACGGUCAAACGAGAGAGUCUCUUCGCUUUCAUCCGCGAGUCGAGCAGAAAACUAGAUCGUCCGGAGGAUCUCCACUUUUCCGUACGUACAGAGAUCGCCUUCCACUUAGCCGAUCGAUUUACAAGACGAAUUAGAAAAUUUUAUCAAAUCAAAUCGAUCGGAAACUCGGUGAAAUUGCUCGCAGAGGCGUGAAAAGUAAUCGAGGGUGAAUCUGAGCUUCGAGGAUUUCUUGUUAAUUAAAAGAGAAGUGCGAUCCGCAUCUUGCUCUCGGAAGCCGGACGGGAAGAAACGGUGAGGUUUCGAGCGGACGGUGAAGCGGAAUAGCGGAGAGGAAGGAGCGUGUAAUGACAUUUAAGUGGGCACUAUUGCGACGUUAUCUUGGUCGAGGCGGGAGAGUAACUUCUCUUUUUCCUCGGCCAGCUACUAAAACGGCCGAGAGUAAGCGGCCGAACGAUUCUAUGGGCCGCAAAUAAAAAACGGCACACGCCUCGCGGUGGCACGAACGCCGACCGUGUAUAUUUUCCUUGCAAAGCCGAGCGAACGGAGCCCGCGCCAGCCUUGUCCAGGCUUUCUCUGGACCACCCCGCCCACAAUCUGUGUAACGUAUAACGUAUACCGUAUACCAGCUUGUGCACGCGCGUCCAUAGAGAUGGGAUCGACCGGGCCCGAUUCUAUGCUUGCGAAUCGCGCCUGACGCGUUGCGAAUCACGGUACGGUUACUUGCCUUUCCACUGGCUUCGAUACGCCACGCCGCCGCCGCCUUAAUUUCUCUCUCGGUUUGUCUGCCUCACUGCCGCGAGGAUAACGCUGUUGCAAUUUCCUAUAUCGUGCUAGGUACCGCUGCUAUGUGGGUGACUCUGAAAGUUUCGAUAAGCUCACUCCCAUCUCUAGCAGUCGUUCAUCAACCACUCUCGAUGGGCAAUUAAAAAAUGGACCAGCUGUGUCUGAUCUGACAUUUCGGUUCUCGUCUUUCGAUAACGUCACCAUUUUCAGUAUGACCGGCGUUAGAAAUUUUCUCUUCCUACGAUUAUCCUCUUCAUCCUUUCGAAGGGCAUCGACCUAUUCGAGUUGAGUAGAGGUAUCGAUAUCGACAAUUACGCAAUACUCGACGCGUAAGCUGUUUAAGGCUAAAUUUAAUCGAUUUGCGAAAUAUCGAGCGCUAACGAGCGCCGCAAAGUCGCGUCUUCGGGGCGGUUUCGCAAAUUCGUACAGACCAAGUGCGUGCCGGCAAUUUCGCGGCUCGCCUGGAAUGCCUAGGCAUUCGAUUGGCACCAGGAUACGUCGAGGAUGAAAACCUUGUUCCCGUUUCCUAUAUAUAGAAACUUCAAGCGCGGUAACACGACAAAGGUACACGGCAGAUCGCGCCUUUUGCUUCCGACCGUUCCAGCCACGACGUUAGAAACGUGGCCGGCUAUCCAACCUACUGAAAUUUAUUUUCCAUUCGCAGGUGAUCGUGGAAUCGCUAACGAUGCGAUCGAUUUGCCGAUCUACCUUUCUACGACCACCUGAUACAUCACUUUUCCUAGUUUCCCCCUUACCGCCAUUCAAAUAGAGCACUAUUACUUUCUAUCAUUAGCCAUUCAUUGCUGCUGCCGUUCAAAAUUACUUAUUUGAGUACAAUGAAUUCCUAAGUACCGUGCGUCGCCGACUUUCCGGACGGAUUCUUCAUGUCUACCCAGAGAUCAAUGACCUAAAGAGAAUCUGAGUCCACAUGAGUUUUCAUGAAACAAAUAAUUAAAAGCCCCAAAAAAGCAUGUAGAAGAGAAUGUGCAACAGGUGCAACGAAAUAUCAGGAAAAACCGGAGAACGUUGAUGUUUUGGAGAAAAAGGCCGUCGCGUUCGAGCGUCCAUCGGAACUUUCGAUCUUCACGAGUCUGAGCGAAGGCGAGCUGGCAAACCGCUAGAGGAGGAAAACUAGAUCACUUCGGGAUGUGGUCGCGUCGACCACGCCAGAAUGUUUGCGAUACGAUAGAAAGAGAGAAAGGAAUCGACUUUAUUGGCUGCGUUCACACCAAGCGACGCGUCGUGCCACCACUGUGCGUUCACGGUAUGUUUCUUCCACGAACGAUUUAGCAAGAGGCGAGGGGUUCGAGUCGCGUAUCCUUUGAAACGUCGACAAACGAUCAGGUAAUUUGGUGUUUUAUCGACCGUUUCGAUCGCCUCGAUAUUUAAUCGCUUAAUAAAAGCAAGAGGCAUCGUUAAUCGGUUGUAUCGAGCUGCCGAACAAAUAUUCAACCAGGGGGGGAAUCGAUCGGGGCACGGGACGGUCGAAGGGAGCGUAACAGGCACGCACAGCACGUGCAACCGUUCCGACAAUCAAUUAAGCGGUGGAUUUCACCGAUCGCGAAAACGCGAAAGAAAAUAAAAGGCGUACAGAUGAAAGCUAAACGUCCGAGUCGAUGGCCUACGCUUCCGUAGCCGCUAGUCUCCGAGAAACAACCUGAUGGUAAUUAAGAUUCAAUCUCGUCGCGGAUCAGAAGCUCGAACAUCUGAAAACUUCAGUCGUUUUCUUCGCUAAGAAUUUUUCUUCAGGACACCUCUAACAUAGUCAGUGGUUUUCAGGUGAGGUGCAGAAGGAAGGAAGGAAAAGGAAGGGUGAAAGGAGGGAUGAGUAGACACACCAACCACCGUUAAUUGGAAUCGAAACCAGCUGCUUCGGGCGUAAAGAGGAGCAAGGGGCGAGUCGAGAGGGAGCGAACAAGAUCCAGUGAAAUUGCUUCCAGGUAUCCACGAAGACGUUGACUUGCUGGCCAUCUAAUACUCACCGAGGUAGAAGGAAGGAGAUGCGAUGGUAUUAGGUGUUAGGGAAAGUUCUUCGGGUGCUUUUUUCCCGGAAGUGUAUGUAUUCCUUACAUAAUUUGUAUUGUUAUUCGAAAUGAUCGAUAAGCAACAUGGUCUUGGAUGAAUUUUUUUCAUAGCUAAUCAAACCGUGCAAUUCAUGGUUAUACUUCAUUUUCAAGAAGGUAAAAUUUACUAUCUGCUUUAGGAUCUGCUCUAAAGUAAAAGUUGUUUAGGCACAGUGCGAGCCGUAAACGUCGCAUGUGGCAACGAAAACCAGUAAAAUUCGCCCAAGAGGAACGGGAGCACUUAAGGUUUCAGCUAACGUGCAAGAUUCGAGCGUAAUGAUGGCGAGAAAGCGAUCCCCAACGAAGCAGGUGAGCUCGAGGUGAUAAUGAGUGCAUUUCGUAGCCACACGUGCACUCUAUCAUAUCAUAAUGCAAUUUCUCGAGUUUGAUAAGCGCCGUGAUCGCGAUAUUAAGGAUACUUGUGAACAGGUUUACAUUCUGUGCAUCAAACUUUCAUACCUGAUAUUGAUCGUUCAUCGAUCAGUUAAUUAGCACCGAACCACUCACUUCCGGCGCGAGAGCUGAAUCUACGAUCUCCAAUCAUUAUUUCAGAAAUUAUCGUCUUUACAGGUAAAAAUGACGAUAACUAGUAACUGGUUAUAAAAGGAAGACUGUUAGAUUUUAUUUUCAUGAUUAUGACUAGCUUUCAAGUGUCGUUGGAUAAAGAUAUCAGAUUAUCAAAAACCCUUCACGAUUUUAUGGAGUAAAUGUCUCUUUGGCUUUCGUGACGCGAACGAUUUCGUGUUACAAAGCGAUAUCGAGCACAAUCGAGCGAAUUAAGACGUGGUACGAGUACGUGGCAGUAAUUUAACGAUCCAUUCAUAAAGUCGAGGGAACACGUGCGAUGCGUAACUAAGUGGCAGGGUGAAUUUCGACCCGUUCCCAUUAAUUAUCGGCCCGUGCACUAAUGGCUUUUUCGCCUCGAACCGAUUCGGUUCCAUUCAGACGACUAACUUAUCCGAUUAAUGGUCACGAUCGUAAAGAGAUACUCGGACCAUCAUUAGGAUCGUUUUGGCAGCGUGUAAUUAAUACAACUAAUUUCCAGAUUGAAUGGUGUGAGUCGAGAGAAAAAAAAAGGAUCCGUCGAUGUUUCGGGUGAUCAUCUUUCUUUUAACCUGUGAACGUGUGCUCGUACACGGACACCAUCUCGAAACCGUUUAAUUACGAAUGAUUGUUCUGGUGUAAUUAUGAAAUUCGAACGCAAUCUCGCAUGCCAGGGCAAUAAUCGGGGUCGGUUACGAACGCGUCCGGUGUGGAACUGUCGGUCGUUGCGCAAGGUAACGAAGAUAAGUGGCGGAAGGCAAUGUGCAAACUAAUUUGAACGCGUUUGAAAUAUUCUACAUUAACGUGGUAUCGUACAUUAGACGUCGCUAUUUCGAGAAAGUCCUAGGAGAGUGCGAUUUAUAGGAUUUCAAGAAAGGAUACGAAUCAAGGAAAGCGAAGGCGAUAAAUACCGGAAGUAGCCUCGUCAAUUUGUAUAGCAAUUUCACGAACGACUUAUUCGUCUAGCUUGCUUCUCGGCUUGGAACAUAGCUGCGAGAAUGGCGCAUACCAGCGUGCAUUCUUCGAAUCCUUCGAAAAUACCGGAGCGCGUGAACCGUGCUAAUAGCCAGGCGUGGUGCGCGAACCUCGUAAUGUCAGAGGGUGAGCAUUCUCUCUGGCUUUCGUGUAAAAGGAUUUUUCCUCGCAGUUAUCAGCUCUGUUUCUUUCAGACGAUACGAGCCGAGGAAAGUUUGAGCCACGCGCAUGUAACGAGUAGAUACUUACCGUGUUCGUCAGACACGUCGUAAUUCUCUUGCUACUUUGUCGACUUUGAAUGGAAACGGAACACCUCUUCCUGGUAAAAACGAUGGCAGCGUAAUUUCACGUGCUAUGAAUAAUUAAAUGCUGCUAUUCCACCCACCAACCAUUGGAAGGUUAAUUUAAAGCUAAUACAACCUACUCGAAAAUCAACGUUGAAACGUUAUAAAAUAGGAUAAUCAUAAGACAGGAUUAGCAUAACUUGACUGUACACCCGAUGACACUUGGCUCCAAUAUAUCUGAACACUGCAGACCCCCGCAUAAUGGAAAGAUAACGUAACUUAGGAUCGCUAUGGCUAAGGUCUACAUUGAACCAGGAUUAGUAUAACCAGGAAGUAACGGAGUCUAGGUAGAGCCUUAUCUAGCUAUAACUUAGCCCUAGUGUCGCUUACGAUUAACAUAUCCUUAAGCUGUUCCAGCCUUCCACGAUCUAGGACGUUCAAGAAUUUAACACGAUUCGAAUUCAAUAGGAGCAAGAAUUAAUAGGAGCCGAAGGCAUCGUUUCACCCCAGACGGGUCGCCUUCUGUCGUAACUCGACGAUAAAAUGACUUUUUAGCGUCAUAUGCGAUAAACGUUUUGCGAACGAGCAGCACGUAAUGGCGGCACGUGCGAGGCACAUCGGAUGCAGUGGACACUGCGGGCGAGUUUCGUCGCCUUCGUCAGAAGUGAUAGUGACACGAAGCACGAGUUGCUCACGGUUGGUGGGACUGGCUCGACGUUAUAAAUUAAAACGAUUCAAAAGGCGAAUGGCUUAACCGUUCAGUGGCGUAGCACCGCUACGUUCGGUUUUAGUCCUCGCCGAACUGCACGGAUAUAUGGUAGAAAAUUUUCAAGCUUCCAUGGCCAGCGAUAAAUCUCGUCCGGCUGGUACGUCUAAGAUUUCAACUAACGUCGCGUAUCCUUUGGAUAAAAAGUGCAGCAAGUCCAACACAUGGUGUCCCAUCGAACGGGACAGAAGCCGUAAGUCGAUCUUCCUCGAGAUCCUAUCGUCUUCCCACCCACGUGACGAUUCGGAAGGUGGAACUGGAGGAUUCCUUUCCUACUCUCCCAGGACAUUACGAUCGGUGUCCGUAGCAUCCGAUACCAAAGCGAUCGAGACGCCUGCUCUUACAACCUACACGAUCUUGCUGCACCUAGUGCUCGACCAACGAACGAACGGUGGGCUGACCAUUCUUUUUUUUCCCUCGACCACUCGAGAUUAUCGUCCGGUUCGGUCUGCUCCGAUCCGGGACAGCUUCAGCUCCUUAGGUUCCUUCGUUCUCUGACUCACUGCUCCGCCCUCGGAACGCAGCUCGCGAUCUGCGUAGACGGAAUCGGAAUCGGAAUCGGAAUCGGGAUCCGGCUUCGGAAUCGUUUCGAACGCGUUCGAUUGUCUACACGAUCCGCGGUAAAGGACUUUCAUCGCGAAAGGUGGUUAACCCUUCAGGUAAACAGGUCUAACAAAUGUGUCUUCAGGAUAGUCAUUAUUUAUUUAUAUAAUACAGAGUUAAAGAAAAAUCAGCUAUCAUCGAGUGACAUCGAGCCGAGGAACGAUUCUGUCUUCCUAGACGAGAAAUGAUUUAAUUAACUCGUCGAUUUCCUCGAGUCAUCGUCAGGGUUGAACGUGGGCUGAACAAAAGGACGUGUCACAGGAACGCGGAAGGAUGUCGAAAGAUCGUUUCGCUCGUGGGAGGAUUUCGUUUGCCAUCGGGAUGCGAAAUAAGUAUCAGCCUGUUGGCGUACAAAUUGUCGAUCGAUCGAUCGAUCGAUCGAACGUUAUCAAGGAUUCACCGGAAUAAAUUGAAAUAUCGUGUAUUCGAUAUUUCGAGGAAGCAGAGAAACAGAUAAAGCCGUUCGGUAAUAUAUUUAUGGCUGGCAGGUAAUUUCCUGAUACGAAAUCGGUUGCGACACAAUCAAAGGCGUGUCGUUGAUAGUCCAGAAUUUCGACACAUUUCGUAUUUGCGUCAAACUCGCGCUCUGUCUUGAAACCGGUUCCUGUUCGCGUUAUGAUACACGCUCGAGAUCGAGCGGAGAGCCGGGUGCGGUGCCUCGAUAAAUCCGCCAAUAAGCUGGUAAUUACAUCCACGGUAUCGUCGCCGAUCGUCCGGCUGGAUCUCUUUCACCAUCGAUACAGCUUCCUUUUUCUCGAAUUUCCAGCUGACCGGUAAUCGAGUUAGCUUAACGACUUCGUAUCCGUUUGCUACAAAUUAGCCGUGACCGAAGCGAGGAUCGUUGAACGAAAUUGCGCUUCCGAAUCGAAGCUAAUCUGAGAAAGUCGACCGGUUGCAAAUCAACUUGUCGCUCGCCAACUUUACGUCACUGCUCCUCGAUGUCCACCCUGUUUUAUCUGCCAGCCAGUUUAGCUUUAUUUAUUCGGUCACUUUCAACGUGCAUCCAACCUCGAGAUACAAGCUCUGCUUGAUUGUGCGUGUUAGGUGUACCUGAAAUGUCGAUACGAAACUGAUACGCAGUCCUGACAUUAUAUUGGUUCGUUCGUAAUUUCCUCUUUCUGAUAGAUUUGAAAUUUUUCUUAUCUAAUUUCUCAUUUUCUUGUUUUAAAUUGCCUGCCAACUAAGUUGAUAAGCAGGGACAUUUGUCGGUACCAUUUCCGGAGAGGAUUUCAUUAUAGAUACAAUUUUUGAUUUUUAAAUCAGUUGCAGUUUCACAGUGUCGCGUAACGUGAUGUAGUUGUAGUUAAUAUUAUACAGGGAAUAAAAUUGUUGAUCCACGCCGAUUUUUCCACGCAACACGACCGACAGAGCAGAGCGGCUUUCGAAAGCGAAUGCAGCCACGGGGCGACAUUCUUUUGCGUCGGUUCUGGAGCAAAGCGGCUGCUUCUCUCGCUUGAAACCGCGUCUCCCAUCGCGUUGGAAUUUGCAUUUAAACGCCUGGCUUACGUAACACGGCGCGGUGCGGCGAGGCAAACGCGUUCAGGAAACGCCGAUGCGAGAGAGCCGAUUCGUGCGAGUACUCCUAGAAUCCGCCUAGCUAUCCUACACGCCGUACACGUUCCGCUUCGAUAUUCGACCGUUUAUCGAAGCGUCAACUCAAACUGCUUCACUGUCGCGUGAAAUUGAAAGUUUAUGGCAAACGUUUCGGUACGGGUUGAAAAAAAAUACACGUUCACUUGGAAUAUAAAAUAAUGUAAUCACAAAUCAGGCAGCUCGUUUUUUAAAUGAGUUUCAUUUCACGAGAAGGAGUCGAAAAGUGCUCUUUUCGAGGACGUGUCUUACGAAAAACGCAGACAAUUCGUUGAAACACCAUCGACAAUUACGAAGCUGAUAUUCCAAGCAACUUAACAUUUACUUGUUCGAUUUCAUCGAGACGCCUCGAGAUACGGAGACACUCGGCCUGUAAUUAUUGAUCGUAACUCAACGGGAACGCCUACAUGGUAAUCCGGACGAAAAUUAAUUAAAACAUUACCGCGUCCUUCGUGAUUUUUAAGAGAACAAAUUAGCCAAAUUACGAUUGAUCGGUAGCCGGGCUGAAUGUUUUACGGGAGGACAGAGAUCGUAUCGAGUGCGCGUUUACGUAGAUGGAUCUACUGGAAAUUUUCACCGGGUUCAAUUUCCCGCAAUGACGCGCGCAAGGACGCGGAUUAGCAUACAGACGGACCACCCAUGAAACGACCCUGUGCGAGCAACGGACUGCUCUUCGUUCUCGUAAUAAGCGGCCGCUCGUGUCGGAUCCUCCGCGUACAAGUACCGCCCGUGUACCCAUCCGUAUAUCUCGAUUUAUGCCGUUAUCGAUCCUUUAUUGGCGUCGAUAUAUAUUCCUGUUCGAUCCUUACAUCGAUCCUGGCCGUCUCCUUUUCUCUUCCUUCCUUUACUCUGCGUUGUGUCGCGCGUAGGAGUCCGAUGUCCCUCGAACGGUAUCAGCCGACUUUGCUCUCUUCCUUCCUCUUCUUCUUCUUCUUCUUCUACUAGUACACCAUGUUACUUAUCGAGUCCAUGAUAACUGGCUGUGUUUACGAUCGUCGUUUCAAUGAUUACGAUCCUCAUUUGGCUGGUAUAAUUAAUCCCUUCAUGAUUGUAAGGAACCUGAAUGAAACGAGCAUGAGAUUUAUGUUGAUAUCAGUGAUAACCUUCUGCUGAGAUACAACUAUUUUUCCUACAUUUCUUUACUUACAUUCACAUUUCUUUCGGAAGAAAUCUAUGUCCUGUUGUGGCUUGAUCCACAACCGUGUAGGUACACUUUUUAUAAUUAAUUUCUUGUUCCUGACACAGUUGAGUGAAACUCAAGGAUACGAAAGAAAUUGUUUUAAAAACUGUGAACGUUGAUAAAUUAAUAUCUUCCGUUUGUUCGUUCAUUAGAAAAUCAAAGUUUUCGAAUCGAGACGACUGAAGAAUAUCAAAUGAGAAAGCAAGAAUAGAAGCGACUUUAUUUAUUGCAACCGGCCUAUCGACCCUCGUACUCAACCGUGUACCAUGUUUAUUAAUUAACCUGACUGGUCAAUUAUUCGAUGUAAUUAUUAGAGGUAUGCUCGGUGUCAGGAAGCAUCGACAGGCCGAUAAGAUGUUUCUCUGAGACGACAAGCGGUUUACGUUUCAUGUAGACAUAGUCGUUAAAGAAGUACAUCUCUUGGAGCAUUCGCUCGAUACAAGGAUCGGCUGGAUCAACUGGAAGAAGUCUGAUAAAAAGAUAGAAGUUUUCAAGCUCGAGGAUCUCGAGCAACAACGACCGUGAUACGAAGGACGCUCUCUUUCUCUCUGUUUCUCGUUCGAAGUGGCAAGAACCGCUUCGAAAAUCCCUCUUCGGCUGCAAGAAAAUGCCGAGGAAAAAGUAGCCUUCGUUCCUUAGUUCGUUGGUCACAGCGAACCAUUCCAUUAUUGUUGUUCCAAUUUGCGUAACUACAUUUUUCUUUAAUCGUUCUACGGAAUCGGGUUUGCGCGUUAUCCGUUACGUUCUCCUCUUCCAUCUGGUGGCUGGUUAAUCGUACAGGGUGUUUUAAAGAAAUUCUCUUGCACAGGCACAGUUAGCAUAGGUAAAUAAAUAAGAAGGCAUGUAAAUAAGAAAUAACCGUAUAUCGAGCACUCGUGUCUCGCAUAUAACGGGUCCGGUUAAAUUAGACGUCUCCUCGAAGAAAGUAUCGGCUGAACUGCGACGAUUUAUCGAGCCCUUCAGCAACGAUGAAUCACCCAAGAUCUUCGUGUCUCGUGCUGGGGGGAAAAAAAGAAGAAUCAAUGCUCGUUCCGUGAAAUUACAUUGGUCCGAUGAAGGAUCGUUUGCCUUGCAAUUGAGCUAUCCGACUGUCCGACAACUUCCCUUCUCCCUAAUUUGAUAUUCGAACCUACACCUACGUCGAGCGAUUCAGUAAAUCAAACUAACCAGUCUACCUGUCAUCUCGUAGCACGUUUUAAUUGCGUUUACCGGGAUAUUGAGUCGUUAUGUGCCGUUGAACAGGAGGAUCUUUCGGAUGAUUUCUUCCUCGCAAUUUUUUCUCUUCCUCUUCCGUUCUGCCCUCAGAUCGCUAUCGAACGACCGGCACGGCUCUCGUUCCUCCGCACACGAUCGUUUCUUCGAUCGAGAAACAAUUGGCCAACGCGAAGCUGGUUAACGGUGCAUUCGAUUCGGUCAGAAAUUAAUCGCUCGAAGUCGUGCGAAAAUUAUUGACCAAGCGUCUCGCGUGAAUCGUACCUGCAUCCAGGGUCAUUAGUUUCCCUGGCGUUCGGUGGUGAUUUACGUGAUCGUUAACGGGACAUUAAGGAACCGCGACACCACGAAGGAUGUUUUGACAGCUCGGACCGAGGGCAAACAUGAUGGAGGUGUCGAUCGAAUUCACUCGGUACACGAGCUGGAUGCUCGAUUUAAGGAGGCGUAAUUAAAAAGCGUGCCACUUAUCGAUACCCCGGUGGAUAAUUUAAGACGUUCUCGAUCGAGGAUGAGACCGUGGGUAUCAAUUUUCUGCCGGCUAAUUUCUGCUCUGUUCACCGUUGACGUUAAUGGGUUAUUUAUUAAUUAUCGUAUGAAUUCAUUAGUAAGCAAAUGGGAUCGAGGGAUAUUCGAUAGAUCGUUUCGGUAGUGAUUUUAAGUAGAAUCGAGGAAAUCCUUCCGUUCGAAAUCACCAGUCACCAGGUCGACCGACCUUAUGGCCGAUUUCUAAAAUGGCAAAAAGUCACGACGCAGCGGUGCUCAGGGCUGAUGGUGCAACUAUAAUAAUAAAGUCCUUGCCACGAGUGAAAACUUUGUACAAUUUCAAUUCCUCGAAUCUCGAUGUCUUCAGAUUUCGAGCAGAGAUUCUAUUUCUAUUUGAUGUAACAAUGAUGUUAUAUCACGCUGGAAGGAGAUCAAAUAAAUUGCGAGGAACAGACAUUUAUUACGAGAGGAACGUCAACACCGGUGUAAACACAUAUAUAUUCAUCUCACGUAAUUUCACGCAAUUCGUGGAACGAGUCCUCGCACCGACAAGCCGAAGAAAAAGGAAGACGCUUUUUAGGUCAGGAACGCGGUUUAUCCCUCAUCCCUCUUCUUCCUCGGAGUGUCCGCUACCUCGAGUGUCCUUCUUGCCUCUCCCUUUUAAUCAGACUUCAUGUAGGAAUGGGAAUGAGACGCUUCGAAAUAAUUUUCAAUGUCGAACUUUCGGUUUUUCUUUUAUUUUUAUUCAAUUCUGAAAUAUUCUAAUUAACCGAUAUUCCGAAGAUUAGUUAACAUUGGAAAUGGUUUGGAAAACGGUUGAAAGUGCAUCACGAACCGAUUGGUUCGGAAGGCGGCGGCGAGAAAUCGUAUCGAAUGGCCAUCGCUACUCGGUCGCGUAGCCAGCCAACUGGUUUUUGCCGAUGCAACCGAGCCAAGCUGUGAGUGCUACCUAAGCCAAGCCGAGAGAACCAGAUGUACGCGGUUGUGUCCUCGCGGAUAUCGGUUAGCAGUUUCCUGGGAGAGUCUGGCUGUACGUACGAUCGUCCUUGAAGCCGUUACACUCCCUUGCAUCGCGGCUCUUGUAAAUCGGGCCUCGAGUUCGCCACACUAUUACACCCACCGACACGCCUCUGCCCUCUCUGUCCAUUAUCGACUUAUCGAAAUCAGCAAGAUUUGACUAUUAUCCCUCUGUAAAAUCACGACAUUACUUCACCGCAAAACACUCGAAUGUUUUCUCCUGCAAUAGAUCAUUCGGUUAACCCUUUCGCUACCAAUGACAUUAUUACACGGUGUACGUUGAUAAAAAAAAAAAAAAAAAAAAAAAAAAGAGAAGAAAAAUUCAAUAGUACAGCAUCGAUUUCUUCACAAAUGAUUAAUAACUCUCCAUCAGGUGUGAAAAUGUCGCAACGCGGUUAAUUAUAAGGGUGGGGCCAGAGUGAUCCGCACGCAAACCUCGCUGAUACGAUUUUAAUGAUCGUCUCGUUGCUGCGUUCGAUCGACACCAGUGAAAGUGAUAGAAAGCGAAAUAAUAGAGGCUGGCCGAUGGUAAAGAAUCUCGACUCCCGCGCGAAAUCUCGGCCGAGAUGCUCGUCCAGCCUCUGGGAGCCGAGAAAGAACCGAUCGAAUCUGUUAUAGAGGAAUGAUUAGUAUCGGAUCGUUAAAGCGACCGUGUAAACGGAUAAUUGGGCAAUAACACAGAAACGAAGAUCACGAACGCGACUCGCGGCUCCGCAUAUGGAACGAUCACGAUCGGAACGAAGAUCUAACCGUUCAGAUAAACAGGUAACGAACGAUCAAAUUGAAAAAAAAUUGGGUGGUCAAUGUCACGGGGGUGCGGUCUUCUCGGUUGAUCGUGCUUAUUAAGUAGACAAAUUUUUCAACAAGGCAGCUCGAAAUGUCAGAAAAUAAUAAUCUCGAAAGAUUAUAAUCUAAACGACGCAGUGUCGAAGGGGUUGAAAGAGCAUAGCGUCGAUUUCGUUCUUCCGGGAAACGAAAUGGUGGUUGGAGUUAUGCAACUGGCACGAUCAAGGUGAAUAGUGUAAUACGCUGGAACAACGAGGAGCGGUUCGAGCAAGAAUGGGAAUAUAAAUUUCAUUUCCCCCGGAUCGGUUUCGAAUCGAGGCUACAGAGAUAAGACGAUACGCGCAUAGAUUUCGAGAACCGUUCUAUCGAUAGAUCCCGCGAAUUCUUGGAUCGUGGUCGAUCGAUAUAUGGGUGUGACGACGUAGCACAUCGGCCCUCUUAUCCUUUCCUUCCUCGUGUGUUAAAUAUCUGAUUUCCUUACAAUGUACAGUGUGUAUCGCGUUACACAGUACCGUACCUACCGCGGCGAACAUUCGUUACACUUUAUGUAAAUUCGCGUUAAAGAUCGUUGCCUUUAUUCAUGGAAUAGGGCACGGUGAUUUGUGGUGUCGUCGAUCUAGUCGCAAACCGAACGAGUUAUGAAAUAUAAAACAAUUAAAAGAAACGUGUAUGUUCAUCGGUUCAUGAGGCAGGAAGUCGGAAAGGAAACAACACGGUACAAAAGAAAGUGUCGUAAAACAGACGGCAGAUUUCGCGGGAAACGAACGACUGACUCGGUUGCAUGUAAUUAACCACGUGGAUAAACGGUUGAUUCGCGUUUCGGAUAAUUGCCGGGGCAACGCGUGUAUCAAAAGCGGGCGUCUCGCAAAAAGGUAACGAGCAAAGCGGUGAAGUGUUUUACGAGCAGAAAGAUCGCUUUCGUUUCGCGUUCUUGGAUUUCACUUUUGACGAUCCCGAGGAAAUUCACUGCUGUAACCUUGGUAAAAAAAAUUGAUGAACACUCUCGGUCCACUUGACAACCUGCUACGAUCAGGUUCACCGAGUAAUUUCUUAAAUUUCUUCUUCUUAAAUAAACAGUGAGAGUUAAAAGUGAGUGUACACCACUUGAAUUCAGAAUUCCAACGAUCCUAUGGUGUUUUAGAGAUUGCAUUUCACGAUGUCGUGCCUGCAAAGUGACACUACCGUCACUUCGAUACUUUUCAGAUAUCAAACUAAUUGCAGAGACCUAAUUGAAUGGGGGACAAAAUUAGCAGCGUAUACGACGUGGUAAUAACACGUCCUAUCGGUCCUAAUGAAAGCGAAUCGACAGAGUAAGUCGCUCGUUACGAUUUCGCAAUUGAUUUCGUUUGUCGUUCCAGAAACUGAAUUGACACGAAUUAAAGUAUAGCGGUCUGGCUCGAUUACGAUUGACGUUGACGUACCGUUCUCGUUUAAUGGAUAUAAUACAGUUCUGAAUCGUGUACAUCUUCGACCUCCGUCUCAUAAUGGACCUGUCAUUAGAAAAUGAAGACGCGAGACACUUGGAGAAAUUAGUUGGCAUAUCUUCCGCUUGAUUAUGCUCGUUAGCGAGCCUCGAAACAUCAGGGUCAGCCGUGAAACUCGUCUCCCGAGGAGAGAAUCCAAGCUUAUCCAUCUUUUCACGCGUCAAAAGGAGGAGAAAUGUUAAGUGGUCGAGUUAUGGAGUUGUACGGGAAACGAUGCGCUACCUUUUAUGGAAGAUUUAUUCUACUAUUUCGAGUUUGCAGGUGCGCGUGCAAUUAUCGAAGUGUUAAAGCUUGAAAACUAUCACAUCGAGGGGCAGGGGGGGGAAGAGUUGAAGUGCAAUCAGCAUGCAACUAAUUUCUUACAAAAUUCCUGUUGCAUCCAGUUACACUUCCGUAUCGAAAUGGUCUAUCUUCUCUUCGGAGAAGAGCAAAAAGCUAGGAAGCAAUCGAACCGAGACGUUUCACCGUGGUGCGUGCAGCUUUCAUCACGUGCGAUUUCCGAUAUCGAAAGUUCGAAGUGCAAUUUCGUGGCAGAAAUAAAUCCCUGCCGGCUGCAUAAAUCCUGGUACCUUCGUGCCAGAACCUCGUGCAGCACACGUCGCUGAACUUCUCUCGCGAGUGAAGGCAGGGAAGAAAAAGAAAAAAAUGAAAUCUGUCUCGUUCUCCAUCUCGAGCGUGCAGCGGCGAGCGAGCAGGACGGAGACGAAGAGAUCGAGAAGAGAGUCGGAGUCGGGGCCUGGUGUUCACCUACUCGCGAGGGUGUGUACCAAGGCGUGUGCAGUGCCCGUACAACGAAGAAUUUCGCUCUGCACGAGACAGCGAUACCGGUGCAAGGAGGUAUCUAUUGCUUGUGCAAUAGUGAACGUAUAGCGGAUGUCAAACCGAGCCGCACGCCGUGCACGUACCUAUCUCGCACACCCCUGCACCAACUUUACCUGCAUAUCUGCAUCGGGACGGUUGACAACUCGCGUGCAUACGCGCCGCGCCGCGCCGCUUUCGUAGACCGCUAAUUUGCAAGCAGGAAGCGGAAAGUCUAAUCGACGGAUUCUGGACGAAUCUCGUACAGAGCCACAAGAUUUCUCACCGUGGUAAUUAGAGAAAUCCUGAAAACGGACGUUUCUUCUUAUAAAACAAAAGGCACUGCAAUCUUGAACCACUCGUACCAAACAUUAUCCUUCGGCUGGUUGAAAUCAAUCCUAUUGCAAAAUUAAUUAAUCGACCGUACGUGGCACUUGUUGUUCCCGGGUUACACUUCUCUUCAUUAUCCUCGAAUUGCUAAUUAACCAACGACUUCGUGAGAACCAUUGCGGUGAAAACUGCGCAGGUUACGCAAUUCUCAUUUCUUCUGUCGAUGGUUGCACGCGCCCACAGCUCGAGCGCGUGUCAAUGAUGCCGAGAUGCGAGAGAGGCGCCAAAGGCAGAUCGAACGGGGGAGAAAAAAGAAAAAAGAUUCGGCACAAUGGGAUAAUAUUUCACGGGUGCAGAUCACGAUCGACCUUGGCCGAAUCGAUCGUACAAGAUCGACGGAUCGAUCUCACGGUGCACGUAGCACGGUGUUACCACGAAACACCGCUCUGUUAACAGCUACGACCGCCUUUCCAGUGUGUUUACAAAUAUUGCAACAAAUCAAACGGGCUUCCAGCUGCUUCAUUGUUACUUGGCUGACUUGCAGAUACGGCGAGCUGUACGCCGCGUCGUUGCACGCAGUCAACCCGGAUUUUACGCGUGUCACGGACCCAACCAAGUUUCUCCGUUCCGGCUUCUUUUUUCCCCGUAAUUUUGCACGCUGUUAUCCCGACUCAAUGUUUUUCGUUACAUCAUUCCACGGACCUCGGCUUGAAUUUAGCAUGGAUAUAUUUGAAAUCGCUUCGACAGUCUACAGCUUUUUAUAAAACGAUCCAUACGAGCUGACGCCUUUUUUCCCCUGGCUGUUGUAACGUAUAGACUGGUCAGUUUCUAUUUGACCCACGGAUCAAAUUUACAGACGCGAUUUCUACCUUAAACGACAGAGACGCUUUAAUUCGUUCGUACAGUAAAAGAGAAGGCUGAAGGGGGUAUCGUUGAAAAGAUAUAUCGUCGAUCGAAGGGAUCCGUUCUCGCAAGGACGACUCGUUGCAUUCCCGAGAUUUACGCCCGAAUUUCGGGCUAACGAAGCGUCGUUUUUUCGAUCGCGAUCGUGUCGCAAUCGACGACUAUCGGUCUCACGAAAAUCGUGAAUUGUUUUUCGCUGGUGAAAUUACACCUCUCUCCACCCGACGUAGGAAUUCACGGUGUACGUUCUUCUUAACUCUUUAGCGCUCUUAUGUAGGUACCUUGUACGUUUCGUAAUCGUCGUUGGAUUGCGAUGGUAAAACUGUUUGAUGAAUGUACCGAUAGGUAGUAAUUUCAUUUCAAAAGAAUGUAGUGCGUUUUUGUUGAAGCCUAAGUAAAAUAAAUGUACUUUUAACACGUCGAUCGGCACACUGGAAAUAUUCGUAUCUACCGUGGUACAUUACAACGAGGAUUAUUAAAGAUAUUGAAACUCCUCGAGCUUGUAAUUACGCGUUGAUAAAAUUCAUGGCAGAGAGGAAAAUUAAUUUAUACGAACUGGUUACGUUUCAUGGAAUUCGCUUGAAGAUUUGAUAUCGAAUCAUAGUGGAAAGGGUUAAACCUGUGUUUGCCGGACAAAUUGAGCUUACCAAAUCGUCGACAGGCUUGUUGUAGCGACGUUACAAAACAAGCCAGGUGAAAGGACAAGAAUUUGAAGCAUCCGAGAAACGUAUCGCGAGAGGUCAACGCGAAUCAUUCGGUCGAGGCUUCGAAAGGCUGGGCAGGGAGGACAGAAGACGGUACAGCAAGGUCUACUUCCGCCGCAGGCAAGGUGAUUCAAAUUCCAACCCAGCCUUGUGAACAACACCGAUGAUCCUCGUGGUGGUUCGGUAUCGAACAACGCCCGUGGUCUCGUUUAUCGAUCGACAACAGAGAAAAUUGCAUUAAGCUCGGUGCCUUCCGCUCGAGACAUCCUCGAACUCGUCGCGAGACAAGUCCAUUUACUUUAUCCAGUCGACGUACGCGACCGUCGAAGACCCUGAACGAUAUCCUCCUUGCUUUUUUCAUCAUGUUCGUCGAACUCUUUCCUGUUUUUUUUUUCUUUUUCUUUCCUACGUAUAAAUAUAUUCGCAAGGUUACGGGCUCGAUUAAUUCUGGACCGAGGACGCUCGAGAAACGACGUCCUCGUGAAAAAAACGCCCAAUGGGUCGAUGGUUAAUUUAUGGAUAGCGACGUUGAGAAGGUGGGCACCCAUCCUCGUUUCAUUUUUCAUCUGAAAUAUUAUUUGAAUAUAAAACAGCUAAGAGGGAAGCUUACUCGAAGUAGCGGCAUCUCGGCGAUUCGUCGUCCCAGGGUUAAUUAUUUCAACACGACAUCGUGUUUCUUUGCUUCUAGCCCUGGAGGGCUCACGUGGCAUCCGUAAGAAGCCGGAUGAACCGUACGAUAAGGCUACCAAUGCUUGUUUCCUAUAGUAGUUGUCAGAAGAAGAUCGAGGAUGAUGGAAGAUUCGCGUGGGCGCUCUACUAACCGCAGGCCAUUCUUCAUCGACGGCUAAACGAGUGCCAUCAAUAUUCAUAACGUUCGUAAACACGUUCAGAAUCGUUUCGUUUCCUGGUCGGUGGGACGUUCGAUUAGACGACUUUGUUUUCAUCCAUGAUGAUCAGUUUGUUAGAAUGGAAAAUUUCAUCUAUUAUCUAAUUCGUUGUUGCUCGAUGUAUCGAACUUGUUUUUUCUAUGUUCUUGCAGAAUUACGGUUUCGCCACGGUUGCAGAUUAAUCUGGCGGACAGUUGCGAAAAGCGAACGGUCAGCGCAAGUUGGACGAUAAGAACGGCGAAAGAGAGGUAGCGCGUGUAAAUUCUCCUGUUGAUAGAGACACGCGGUCGUUCCACCGGUGCUCAGGUCGCCACGAUUACGAAAGCUUCGAGCUGCUGUGCCACGACCUUUGCACGCGACACUAUCCUCGCGUAAUCGUAUCAAAGAACGGCUUUCCGGUCUCUGUGGAAUAGGAUAAAGUCCUAGAAACUAACGCGUCGAGCCGAUUCGUUCUUUCGUAUCGUUCCUUGCUAUUUCAUAAUUUACAAUUUCAUACCUCGUUUCCAUCUAAUUCGUAUAUAAACGGAGAACGAGCGAUCACCUCGCGAUGGAAUCCGGAACAAAGGCCAGACCCCACCCGGCGCCGUGGCGAUCAUAAUUUUUUUCCCCCGAUCGGAUCGGAUCGCAUUGCGUAUCGGUUAGAUUUCAUAAGCGCUCCACCGACAAAAGAAACGGCUGGCGGGGAGGAAGGAUCGAUAAGCCGAUCGAUUAUGAUCGAGAUAGUUGGAAAAACGUAGCUCGGUGUCCGCGCAGCCGGCCGUGUAUCGGUAAUUGCAUCGUGCCUUGUCGACGCUUAUCGCGUUCGUUCUCUCCUUGGCAUAAGCGCACGUACGAGGGCGUUGCAGGUUUUCUCGAAAGGAACAGUCGUCCAGUCCUAGCUGCAGGACCAAUGUUCGCGAUAGAAAAAGGAUCUAUGGCGCCGAUCGGUGAGCGUAUCGAGAAACCGUCAAGGAAAGAGGCUUGCAAUUUUCCAUCCUUAUUCUGGAUCGGAAAUUUCUUUCAGACAUUACACGAUAUUCGUGGAUUUUUCAUUUUCCAAAUUGAAUCAGCAAUCGAUAUUUUUAACGCUAAUUUUUUUUUUAAGAGUAUACGUACUCUGUACAUCGUAAGGUGAACGAAUACCUUGUCGUACAACUUUAAAGUGACCCAGAUUUCGAUAUAUAAAGAUUAACGUACCUGUGAUACAACGUACAAACAUAAUUGUUAUUAACGCCACGUACGAUCCGUUUCUCCAAAUAAUCUCGUACACUCUGAUUCUUAUCGCGAAAUCAAUAAUCGAUGCCCAAUACUGACAGUCGCUGACCAAUUAAACGACCAUGGUGCCUAAAGAAAAGUAGCCGGAUCGAGCGAAUGAUUUACGAGCUGACCGUCCUUUCCCUCCAGGCAUUGAUGUCUCCUUGAGAAGCGCGAUGCCACGCAUCCAACUCUUUCGCUUUCAGAUUCGAUCCUAAAGGUAUCGCUAUUUCAUCCUUUUCUUACAUGUCCGACACGUUUCGUAUCUAAGGAAGCUAUUAGCUUCUCAUCUUUUAAUGUUGUUUGAUAGACAGAACAACGAUUCUUAGACUUUCUAUUAAGAAUGUUGAACGGCUCCUCCUCCGGGAAGAAGAAACAGACGGGUGCCGUUUUUUCUUGAACAGUGAAACUGAGAGGAAGCGAAAAGGAAGAGAAAUUAAUCAGAGCCGUGGCGCGAUUAACGAGCAGGUGUAUCUGAACGCAUCAUCAAAGCAUUCGGAUGAUUUUUAAACAGGGUGCGCCGGAUAAUGUGGUACAAGCGGACGCGGUGUGAUUUCUGGUUAAAAAAUAAAUUGAAAUCGUGGAAUAAAUUUUGCUGGUACCGACGCGUAAUUUUUCACGAUAAUGACUUUAAAGCUGUGUCAAUCGCGUCUGUACGGGCAGUGAUUCUCUACCGAUGGCAAUCAGUGUAAUGACACGUCGUAUCAACGAAAUUUAUUCCAUAAUUUCGAUUUAUUUUUUAAUGAAGGAUCGCUCCGUUGAGUUGUUUGUCUCGUUAGCGAUUAAACGAACGUGACUCGAUCUUUAACCUUUCCGGUGCCAAAAACAUUUGUCGGUCGGAAUAAAAUUCGUCUUCGCGUGUGAUAAUAAUGUAUGCGUUACAACAGAGACAGUUGAUCUCGUUACGAUUGCACAAAAGGCGGCAGAAAAACACGGUGGAGAGGAACUCGAAAUGAAAAGUAACGAGGUCAACGACGUCACUGGACUCUCGACGUUCCAAGCUUCGUGACUCGACGUCUCGCGAGACCCGAUCGAGACCAGAAGCAAAGGAACCGCGUCGGUGAAAAUGCUCGUUAAAAAAAAAAAAAGAGAGAAAAAAUCACGGGACAAUCAGUGGCGAACGCGAGACAACGAUGACUAACCGAGAAUCGACGGUGAAACCGUAAGAAGAAAAUAUUUUUCUUUUCCUCGUCCCGAUCAACUUAUCGACCUCUUCAGUUCGACACGCACGAAAUUAUUCCGCUCUUACGAAAUCCUCAAUCUCUCUUUCUGCUCGGUAACACGUUUAACUACAUAAAUUAUCGAUCUAUCGGUUGAAAAAUGUUUAAUGUCCCGAUUGAAAAUGAUUCUAAAGCUGGUGUUUAGGAGUUGCGCCAGGUACAGGGUGUCGUUAUGCACACACUACAAGCGACAUAAUUAAUAAUACAUGAUGGAGAUAAUGAAACGGUGACACACGGACGGUCGGCUAACUCGUUUUAAUUCUUCCUGCUAUCGAUGAACGCGAGCCCGCGAACCGGACACGCUGCGAUUCGAACGUUGAGAAUUAAUUCGAUCGCAAAUUAGCUCGAACCACGAGAGUCCGGCGGCGCGAGAUAAUUGACACGUCGUUGGGAAAAAGGAGAAAAAGAAAGGGAGCGAGAGGAGGUCUUCAAGGAUGUCCACUCUUCCAGGUGAAGGCGGUGUGGCGCGGCGGCGAGAAGGCGCGUAACGCCCCACAAAUCAGUCGCGGUCCGUACGUUUCGGUUUCGGUUCACCGAAUUUCACCGGAAUCCUUACGUUCUCUUUGAUUCUUCCAUCAAAAAUUACCUUUACUCGACGAUUACGAUCUAUCGUUUAUUCUAAACAGAAUACAACAUCAAAAUUGAUGCUUACAAUAUGACCAGAGAUAAUAUAAUUUUCUUCUCGACGGAGGCGUACUAGAGAUUUCAUCACCUUCGUGUAUUUAAAUACCAUGCAAUAGACUCUUUUUUAUCUUUGGUGCAAUGUUAGAUAAUUAAAUGUCACAUUCUCUAACGAGUAGGGAACACGAUAUAAUUUCGAGCAAAAACUGAAUACAUUACUAUAUUAUCAGAAAGCUUCGACAAAAUGAUUACUUCUGUGAUUUUAAGUAGAAUAUAAUGCGGUGGCUAAAAAUGGAAGAAAGAAUGCAAGGGUAAAAAGCUAGGUAUCAAGCUUACGAAUACGUAACAUUAGUCGUCACACUUUUGCAACGACGUUCAACGGUUGAAAUGAUAGAUUUACAACAAACUGGGGUCUGUUUCAUUGAAAAUUACCGUGCAACCGGGGAAUCCUCGCUUAGCCGAAGACAAGAGCGCGUAUUAGCCGGCCAUUAAACGCGUGGCUUUCGGUAUUAUGAAAAUUACGGGGUAGAAAGAGCGAGGAUCGGCUUCGAUUACACAUCGGUGCUUUGAUCGAAGCCCGGGGAUGCACUUUCGAUCCCUAACAACCAACCGCGUUGAUGUUGUUGCACAAACACGGAUUUGCCGCGGUUCGCUGCUUUCUACCGUUCGAACUCGAUCGUGGUUUCGCACUUCAUUUUCCAAGCUGCAACGGGCUCGAUCGAUUAAUCGAGCCAACGCGAGACCUGUAAUCUUCCUGCCGAAUAAGCGACCAUUGACAAAUCGUUAUCAUUAAUUCUCCAGUCUCGAUGAACCGACUCUCUUACGUUUGUAUCAUAUUUAAAGUCGGUAGAGGUAAAAAUUUACAGUUCGCCCUAACAAGGAAAAAUAAUGAAAUCUAAAGAGGAACAAAGAGAUGGAUCACGGAUCGAGGCUACAGUGAGAUCGGAAAGAUGGCUGUUACGGCUGUGUAGGAUUGCGAAUUAGCAACGGCUUGCUGCCGGAUAAGCUCCAAUCGCUUCACACUUUCCGCGAUUAAUCCGUCGGGAUCGUUCGUGACGCCUACUUAACGGCUGCUACGAUCGUUCAAGUAGCGAUCUCGACGUUCUUCGGUGACCUCUUCAUGUAUCGUGAAACAGCGGGGGGUCACCGGUGUCAAGUCGUGGCUUGGCAGCAUCCAACUUUGCCAACCGGCAGACUUAACGCUUCCUUAAUCUCGUACACGCUUCAUGCUCGACCAUCCUGUAAUCUUCGUUUCAAUUACGUCAAUAGUCGCAGUCUCUAUUUUUCAAGAUAUUUAUUCGACUAUAUCCGAAAGAAAUAAAAGCAAUUAGCGAGAAGCAAUGACGAGGUAAAAAAGAUGGAAAGGAGCUGUCGUUUCAAAACACGAUCACGUCGAUUCGGUGCCGAUCACGUACUCUUCCACGGUGGCAAGAAAACGAUCCUAUGGAUUGCCAGUUCGAAAGUGAUUUCUUGUUCGCAGGAAGAUUUUUCGAAGACAUCGAAUCGCGUGGUUGCGAACAGAGUGACGUUGGUCCUCGCCUAAGGAGUAACGACGUUCUUGUAAUCGUUCAGCUGUCGUAAUUCAGCUGGUAGUUUCGCGAGCACAAUGCAUCCGGCCGACCGAUACCUUAUGUAAUACGGAUUCGAACGUCCCCUCCUAGAGCUACUGCACGCUAGAGAAGAGAAAAAAGAAAACCGUAACGGAAAGAAAGAAAAGGGUGAAAUCCAGCGUCCGCUGGGUUCGCCUUCUGCUUCGACCAGUCUCCUUAGCAGCGCUCCUUCUCUUCCUUCACCUGUUUCUCACGCGGCAAUGCAAUCUCGACGAGAUAUUAAUAUAUCCGGUGGGAUUUUUAAGGACUCGACGAAACGAAGGAAACGCUAACCUUAAAUCAGCAACCGCAGGUAAACAGGUCUUUGAACGUAACGCGUGUCUUUUCGCCUUGUUUUCGAUACUCCGGUGACGAGGAAUUAACCCUUUCCAGAUUUCGAUCAAUAUUUUAAUUCAAAUCUAGCGAGGAAACCGGAAUUGACGCGAAUCGAUUCGACGACCGCUUGCAACAGCUGGCAAACUGUUUUUUUUGCAAAAGAUAUAUUGCAAUCGGUCCACGUGGUAACCAACCGCGUCGCUAAUCGCGUUACGAUUAGUCCUAGGUAUCGCAAUCGUGCGUUCCUCGCCGCGUUCAGCCGCGAUAAUGUUACGCUUCCGCUUUUUCUCUCCAACGGAUUGGCACGCACCGCGCGAGCUGAUUCACGCGUACCUCUACUUAUUUACGCCCGCUAUGAUUCUUUAUUUCUUCUAACGGGUUGACGAUAAACGUUGUCGCGCGUCUUCUCUUUGCCGGCCCAGUUCUCACGCACUCGCGUACCCACCGUCCACCUCCCAGAACAGGAUUCUAUCUGAAAAGUGUAUCUAUGUAACAUGCGGAGCUAGCACCAGUCGGCCGACUCGUUCUUCCGCUGCUUCGCCAUCGUUUCUUGCCAGCCAACUCUGUAAUGCUGUUCGUUCUGCUCGGUCAGUUAUGAAUUCUUAAUUUUCGCGAAGGUCGUGCUCUCACGUUGACUGCUCGCGAUUAUCGUCGAUCCGCUUUGCCAGAGACUUUAACGACGCUUCAGUCGAAAAACGACACGGGUACUUACAAUUAGAGGUACAGAAGAAUUCUUUUUCUUAUCAUCAUUGGGUAGAAGUAAUUUAUCUUAUAACGGGUGGUCCGGGCGACAACUUAUAAUUAAUUGCAAUUCUGACCACGCAACGUUCAACUUUGUUCGUUCGAGGAGAAAGCGCCCACGGGUCGAAGAAGAAUGUACAAAGAGAAAGUGAAAAAGUAACAGAGCGUCGAGCAUUUCUUCGCAACUGUACGAAAGCGUCCGUUAAAUUAAUUAGAGUAUACAUCUAUCUAUCUGUCCGCAAAUCUAUUGAUCUAUAUCUCGAAUCGUACAUUGUACGAGAGAUAAAAAAACGCGAUUUAUCAUGGCAUCGUGAAUAACGUAGUUGUUUCUAUAAGAAUUUUCUUUCUAUCGCACCCCUUUCGGUGGAAUGCGAAUCGAGGAAUCAACAGUGAACACCUUGUUCUCUCGUCCACCGGCUCGUCCAUCUUCCCUAUCUCUAACUGUACCGGUAAAAUAAGUUGCACGCUAUCGUUGACCCGCCACGCAAGUCUCCUCCCGGAAAUCGAGAGACGAACUCCGGUUCGACGACAUCCCCGGUCGAUCGGAUGUUCCACUAGCUCGAGCUCGGCAACGACUAGGUUUCUGCUCGAUCAAAGAGCACCUCCACCCGUGUCCUUUGAUGUAUUCCUGCCGAGUGCCGAGUGAUAGAAGCCGCCUCGUCUUCGUGGCGUGGCUCGAUCAACCGUUCCGAUUCUCACGUCGAGACCUUCGAACCCGAACCAGGUCUUCCUGGUUCGUCUAAAAUCAUGCACACGUGAGAUGGGAUCGCUUUGUUCGGUUCCCAUGACGGAACGGGCUUUCCAUUUACACCGAUUCGCUAAAGUAUUCGAACCGUUUCAAUUAAUCACCGAUUAUAUACGCGAAUCUAGGCUGCGCGAAGCGUUGAGAAUUUUGCUUUAAUUGGUAUCGUAGAAAUUUUGUAAAACUUUCCUCGGUCGAUCGUCCGAGUAGUUGGAUAAUAUUCGAUGGAAACAGCGAUAGUUAUCGAUUGCUAAUGCACGCGUUGGCAUUCGAAAUGAAAACGGAAACACGUGUAAGCGCGUGCAAGCCGCAUGUUCGUUGCAUACUAUGCGCAAUCAUGCAUUGUGCACCGUUCACAACGACUCGUCGGGGUGCAACAAACGAACGUCGAGCCGAGUCGGUCGAACGAUUUUCCAGACGAUCUUUUAUCGGUUACCACAUCGAUGUCUGGAUUUAUCUGCAUCGUUAAAGCGCCGAUAGCGGCGGCUCGUGCACGUUCGAGCAACAGGAAAGAAUCCUUUCUCGCGAGACACCGCGAGAGGGUGUAGUCGAACGUGCGGAAUUCUCUCGGAGGAUUUUUUUUUUUUUUUUUUCACCGGCAAAUCUCUGUUCUGCGCGCGGAGAUCUAUCGAUCGCGACCAGAGUAUCCAGGCGCCACCGUAACCUUUCGCAAUUCGUUUCUCGUUACGUUUCCUCGUGAAACCGAUUGUGAAAAUGCCUAACCUUUCAACGAUUGACAUCGCGAACAAGGAUUAACCCUUUAGGCUUCCGAUUCUUAAUGUAUCUGAAACGAAGAAUUUAUAUACGGUCCAUAAACAAAGUGACAGAUAUAUCGUGUCAACUUAAUUAAUUUCGAUGAUUAAACACAACGCAUAGAGCAGAAACGUUGCGCUCGAUUGAUAAUAAAAUCGAACGCGGCAAGGUAUCGAGGGUGAACGAUCUGUAUAAACGCAACACGGAUCGCGGCUAGAUAAGAUCGCCAAGCCUGUAACAAGGCUUUUCAAGUAAAAGCGCGGAAAACGUAUCGAGGAAUGCGAAUCCCGCGGAGAUCUAUCGCGUUUAACUCGAGUUCUGUUCUGCGGUGAACCGCGACCAGAGGUCACGAUGGUUCUGAAAUUAAUUUAUGCGAAAUCUAUCCAUCGGCAACCUUGCGUGUCCGUAACUUGGAUUACGUGGGUGUGUUCCUGACACUCCGUUUAACAACAUCGACUCUGCGGUACCGUGUUUUCUAAACGAACCAAUAACGGCCACGAUCAUUUCAAUCGCGACAUUUGAACGGUCUGCAAAGAGAAGACAAUCGGUCGUCGAUGGUAGGCCAGUUUGAAAAGAAAAUCCUUGCUGCCGCACCGGUAUAAGAUUAUUCGCGAUGGACUUGUUCGAGGUUUAGACGCUUGCAAAUCAACCGGUUAUCAGAUAAAAUUAUUCACUAAACGUCGGUCGCUUUCUCGAGCUGGUUCUUGUCUUUCUCUUGGACAAUACCAGCGUUAAAAGGAGCAAUAAAGUUGCGAGCCAGGGUGCUGCUGAUAAAGAGCUUCCACUACCGUUUGGCAAAUACAUUCCCGUUUCUAUAAUGAUAAAGCAACGUUAAAUUCAAAUGAAAUUGGCCUCUCUCGAGGAACGAUGAAUUCAUCCCUCGAAAUUGAUCGCGACAGCUCUUCGACGAUCAUAAAAGCCAGCAAGUAUUCGCCGGCGAACGCGGACGUAUAUUAUCCCUGGAAUUGAAGGGUCACAAAACUGGUGGAUCGGUGAUUACCGUGAAACCUGGCGUGUAACAGGUGAACGUGGUCGGUGGACGUCAAUCAAAAGACGAAAGCCAUUAAUUGGCGUGGACGUGCACGAACGUUUUCGGCACGGAAGCGUGAGACACGCGUCUUCUUCUUCUUCCUCUUGGCGUGGCUCGCUGGAAAGGUGGCCCCUGUCGUUCCAUAUACGAAACUGCAUGGAGAGAAAAUAAAGAAACGAAAGCUUGCUGACGUACGGAGUUUCGGGAACAAUAAUUACGAUGUUCUUGUCUCGACUGAGCAUUUUAUUUCUUUAAUUACGAUACAGUAUAUGCGUUCCCUUCCCGGUUAUACAAUAUUUAAAUCCAACGAUCGAAGAAAAAUAAAAUGUACUGAAAGUUGAAACACGAAUUCACCGGACGUCAUCUUCUCGGUACAGGACCUGGAGCACCAUGCUGGAAGCUCUUGAAGGCAAUAUUCAUAUCCAUUACCGUUGAAUUCCAGCAUUCACGCCCACCUGGUCACAGCAGAGGGUCGGCCACGCGUUGUCUGACUUGCGCAUCGCGCCCCUGAAAUUUAUAGGGAAAACGCGACGAGAUAGAUCUCGCAUUCAUCACGCGGAUGAUUUACGUUGCCCGGUAUGGAGAUAUACGCCGCCUGCUGGUACGUGGGUGUCCCUGGACCAUUGGACCAAGAUGUCUCUCCAGCAAGAAUCGUCUAGAGCGUUUUUGCAUACGAAUCACAGUUUUUACAACAGAUGAGCUUGUUUAUCCUGGAAAACACGAGGCGCGUAUUGAGUUACAUCGAAGACAUUUCACGGUUCUCUUUUCUUCUCGUAACUUGGUGCACGAGCACGUUUCGACUUUGAUUUCAAGCUGAGAUUGCCAGCACGUUGAUUCUUGAGAUUUCCUGACUUUUUUUUCCUCCUGUUAGAUUCCGUGCUGUGCGAGCGGUAGAAAAAUUGUAUACGAUAAUGACGAGAGAAACCAUCAUCAAUCAACACCUCGUCAAUUCGGAAUGAAACAAUCAAUUCUUUAAGCAAACAUUUAGUCACGUCGGAGAAAGGAGAAAUCACUGCCACGAAUGGCACAGAAGGCCUAAAUAACCAGGUAUUUCAGUAUUGACCGUAUAUAGGAUGGUUCGACUUGGACGAUCAGAGGAUAAUUGAUGCUUUCUACAGAACCGAACGAUUCUUGAUGCGCUUACCUGAAAGAUUGAAUGUUUAUACUGACAUAAAUGUCACUGCUGUGGGAGACUUUCAUCGAGGGAGGUGUCUCGUGUAGUAGGUGUUCGAUGAUAAACGUAGAAACAGAAGUCGAUAAUUCAUCGAUACCCGUCGACGAUGAAGCAAUAUCAUCGAUAAUCGUGAUAAAUUACCGUCGUGAUGUAGACACGAUCUCUCAGUUGCAUUUGUAGGAAAAUGAGACGGUGAAGUCAAACAGAGAAUAAUUCAUAAUUUUACAAACUUCACCAUGUCUGACUGAAUCGAAUUAACAUAAACGAAUCGGUGAUUAAAGAUAAUCAGCCGUAUUAUUUAUGCGCGCGGUUUUUCUCGACGAACCUCGUUAAUUAACGAAAGAUGCAUCUGCCUGUUCGCUUGGGUGGUAUGCUGACUGCUGACAGACGUAUGUGGGUUAAUUUUCGAGUCAGCACGAUGAAGAGAUUAAUUAAACGUUGUACCCUGGAUAACGACUUUGACUCAAAAUCUCAGUGAUUCGAGAAGAAUUUAUAGAUGAAAUUGUCAUUCGAUGACUAUCGUUUACUUGAACUACUUAAAACAGCCGGCUUUCAAGCAAAUUGAAAUUAAAAUACUAUCAAAGACCACACCUUGAUCAACUACCAUGAGGAAUGAAAAAAAAUCUUCACUCUGGAUAAUGAGACGGGUUCGAGACGCCACAAGGACCAGCCUCGAUUUUUCUGUGGUACAAAAUGGAAUCGUGGGAAGGACGAGAAUCGAAGCUGCACCGAAGCGAACGAAAUGAGCCACCGUCAAGGCGAUGCACCCGUCUACCGAUGCACUUCCUAAAGGAACGCGAUGACGUACGGCAGCAAAACAUCAGUCAUUAUCGACGCCGAUCGUCCCCGGUUUCCCUUGGCGACGUUAUAACGAGUUUGGCAACUGAUUUUUUGCAAACACACGGCUCGUUUGACCAUCAAAGAGUAAGUCUUUCUUUAUUCUUCAAAUUGACCCAACUGGGUUACCCGAAAAAGUUGUAGAUAUUAUUUCUUGCAAGAUUUAUUCAUCUCUGUUUACAUCAAAGUUUCUUUUAUGAAUUUUGUUAGGGAACAUACAAUGACUCGUUGAAAUUAUCAAAUAUACUGAUCUAUAAAAAUGAAUAGUUCCGCAAACUUCUUGUUGCCAUUCUUCGACGAGUUUCACUUGCACUUCGAAUCUUCCAUGACUAAUGGCAACAGGAAACAACUCUGUAGUCUACUAGACUUUUUGUGAAUUUCAUCUAUUUUAGCGAUUUUCUCGUUUCUUUUGACACCCGCAGGAAAUUACGCAAAAUGAAUUCCUGGAACUCCUUAAACCCCCUACGAUCUGCAAGAAUUCAUUAUUUUUCAGCUACCAGUGUUAGAAAUUUAAGCAAUUGUGGUGAUUUAAUAGCUGAUUAAGGGUGUAUCAUUGUUAUUUCCGAUUUCUGGAGAAGCCUGAUUUCGAGGUCGAGUAGUUACACCGACGGCGUUGAAAUUACCGUUCCAGACGGAAUUACAGUGAUAGGGAACAAUGUAAUAAUGCAU